Molecule: long non-coding RNA, 637 nt
Organism: Hipposideros armiger (great roundleaf bat)
Lineage: Eukaryota; Metazoa; Chordata; Mammalia; Chiroptera; Hipposideridae
Exons: 6
Source: RefSeq, a predicted model, not a curated record
CUGGUUGUGUUUGAUCCACUGGUGUAUUUCCGAACCUCCUAGCACAGGCUAGGUGCCUAGUAGGUGCUCAGGACAGAGGCAUACUGAACACCUGCUACAGGCGCAGCAUGGUGUGGGAAGGUCUGGAAAAGACAAAGAGCCUACUCUCAGGAGCGCACGAUUUCUACUACGGGAGGAAGAUGUAAAGAGGGGACAACACAAGCUCUGCUGAGAGGCAGACCACAGUUGAUGAAGAUCCAGCCAGUGGCAGGAGCACCGCCCAGGCAGGCCCAGCAAAUAGUUGCCAAAUGAAAGACUGGCUGAUUUAUUUCUCUGCAAAGAGGGGCAGAAAAUUCAGUGAAUGCUGUCUUUCCAGUCGACUCUUUAGGGACCUCAAGGAAUGACUGCCGAUCUACCUAAAAUUCCAGAGUGACUUCAAAGGACCUCAUAGACCCAUAGACCCUGAGCUGGAAGGAGCCAGAAGAUCCAUCUACUUAAACAUCUCUACCUCCCCAACCAUGCAGAACAGAACUCUACAAAGCCAGAAAGGUUUACAAAGACAAAGUUUGGUGUAUUCUCUGGCACUUGGCAAUUCCAGGAACUACCUUUAAAGUGAGACAAGUAUAUAAAGGGCCGGCCGAGUGGCGCGUUGGUUAAG